UGUCUAAGUAUAAGCAAUUAUACGGCGAAACUGCGAAUGGCUCAUUAAAUCAGUUAUCGUUUACUUGAUAGACCCAUACUACUUGGAUAACCGUGGUAAUUCUAGAGCUAAUACAUGCGAAAAACCGCGACUUCGGAAGCGGUGUAUUUAUUAGAUUAAAGACCAAUGCCCUUCGGGGCUGACUGGUGAUUCAUGAUAACUUCACGAAUCGCACGGCCUUGCGCCGGCGAUGGCUCAUUCAAAUUUCUGCCCUAUCAACUUUCGACUUUAGUGUAGUGGACUAAAGUGGUUGCAACGGGUAACGGAGGGUUAGGGCUCGACCCCGGAGAAGGAGCCUGAGAGACGGCUACUACAUCCAAGGAAGGCAGCAGGCGCGCAAAUUACCCAAUCCCGACUCGGGGAGGUAGUGACAAUAAAUACUGAUACAGGGCUCUUUUGGGUCUUGUAAUUGGAAUGAGUACAAUUUAAAUCUCUUAACGAGGAACAAUUGGAGGGCAAGUCUGGUGGACAAAUCCAGUCCCGUGCUGGCGCCAGCAAGAGCGGGGGGCCCCUGCGGGCCUUCUUUCCCGCUAGUCGAGCACCCGUUCCAUGACGGGAGGGUGCCGGCGAGACAACCUGGAUCGGGGGAGGCUAAGAGGCGCCGCCAGGCGUCUUACGUUGAUCCCGAGCAGAGCACCCGAGGAGCGAUCUUCGGGCUGCCUGUGUAGAGCGCGCAAAGGUGUCGGUCGCUCUCCCCCUCGGGGGAGGCGGCUUAAGGGACGUGCCAUCCGCCUCGAAAGAGGAUUUCCUAUCUCCAGCGCCCGUCACGCUAAGGAUAGGAAGCUGCCGGCUUGCACCGGCAGUGGGAGAUCAAUACGGCCAGCAGCCGCGGUAAUUCCAGCUCCAAUAGCGUAUAUYARAGUUGUUGUGGUUAAAAAGCUCGUAGUUGAACCUGGGCCUCGCGCAGACCGGUCCGCCUCACCGCGUGCACUGGUCCUGCCGGGGCUUUCACUAGGGGAUUCGCAUGUCCUUCACUGGGCGUGUGCGGAACCUGGACUUUUACUGUGAAAAAAUUAGAGUGUUCAAAGCAGGCCUAUGCUCGAAUACAUUAGCAUGGAAUAAUAGAAUAGGACGUGUGGUUCUAUUUUGUUGGUUAUGGGACCGCCGUAAUGAUUAAUAGGGACAGUCGGGGGCAUCAGUAUUCAAUAGUCAGAGGUGAAAUUCUUGGAUUUAUUGAAGACUAACUACUGCGAAAGCAUUUGCCAAGGAUGUUUUCAUUAAUCAGGAACGAAAGUUAGGGGAUCGAAGACGAUCAGAUACCGUCGUAGUCUUAACCAUAAACUAUGCCGACUAGGGAUCGGGCGAUGUUACUUUUUGACUCGCUCGGCACCUUACGAGAAAUCAAAGUCUGUGGGUUCCUGGGGGAGUAUGGUGGCAACGCU
This 1421-nucleotide ribosomal RNA is filed under the name Paralulworthia posidoniae. Its description in RNAcentral is "partial small subunit ribosomal RNA". Lineage: Eukaryota; Fungi; Ascomycota; Sordariomycetes; Lulworthiales; Lulworthiaceae. The record is from RNAcentral.